Long non-coding RNA from Alosa sapidissima (American shad), 133 nucleotides. RefSeq lists it as uncharacterized. The record is from RefSeq and is a predicted model, not a curated record. Lineage: Eukaryota; Metazoa; Chordata; Actinopteri; Clupeiformes; Clupeidae. The transcript is spliced from 3 exons.
CCUGUGGCUGCUGAGUGUGAUUUAAAUGAGUUGACGGUAAUAUUCAAAUUUUCAGUGGUCUUUUCAUUUUGAAUAUGACCGUCAACUCAUUCCAAUGUCACUCAGCAACCGUAGGAUGACUUCAGAAAAAUGU